AAGAAGACAAGCUACCUGACAUCAGUGGCGCCGCUGCUGCCCCCCUCGCGGGGGUGCAGUCCCCCUUCAAGGGGGGGCAGUGGGGGGGAGGGGUCCCGGCCCUCCACCCCUGAAGACCAGCCCCCCCACCAGCUGCUAUUGCCGCCCCGCAACACCUGCGCUGCCUGUGCUACUAGUGAAGACAUCAACGCCACAUCAACGCGCCAGUGUGGCGGGUGUGGCGAGUGGUACCAUCCUGGCUGUGGCUCCGUGCCCUCAUCCGGUGUAACGGGAGCCGUUGCGAGUUUGUGGGGCGAUGAGGAGUGGCUGUGUGGCGUGUGCCAUGGCCGUGGCAUCAGAGCCAGUGUGGCACAUGAUGCCCUGCUGCUCAGGAGCCUGCGCCUCGCCAACGAGCGACGUGUGCGUGAUGGCAAGAGCGGCCACCGCAAGGCCGACGCCAGGGCGCGCAAGUCCGCCUCCGCUGCCGCCGCUCGUCGCCCUGCGGCGGCAGAGAAGAAAGCCACCGCCGUGGACGACGCCCCCCUGGACAUCCCCCAUG
Molecule: long non-coding RNA, 538 nt
Organism: Hyalella azteca
Lineage: Eukaryota; Metazoa; Arthropoda; Malacostraca; Amphipoda; Hyalellidae
Exons: 3
Source: RefSeq, a predicted model, not a curated record